This is a small nuclear RNA of Vulpes vulpes (red fox), 109 nucleotides long. The record is from Ensembl. NCBI's taxonomy places the organism in Eukaryota, Metazoa, Chordata, Mammalia, Carnivora, Canidae.
GUGCUCUCUUCAGCAGCACAUAUACUAAAAUUGGAACAGUACAGAGAAGGUUAUAGCAUGGACCCUGCACAAGGAUGACAUGCAGAUUCAUGACACAUUCCAUUUUUUU